CGCAUCUGUGCAUGCAGCAUAUCAAUAAGCGGAGGAAAAGAAACUAACAAGGAUUCCCCUAGUAACGGCGAGUGAAGCGGGAAGAGCUCAAAUUUGAAAUCUUAAAGGGUUUCCCUUUACGAAUUGUAGUUUAAAGAAGUGUUUUCUGUUGAGGUUUUGGUAAAAGUUCUUUGGAAUAGGACAUCAUAGAGGGUGAGAAUCCCGUAUUUGACCUUUACUUUCAACUUUGUGAUACACUUUCAAAGAGUCGGAUUGUUUGGGAAUGCAGUCCAAAAUGGGUGGUAAAUUUCAUCUAAAGCUAAAUAUUGGCGAGAGACCGAUAGCGAACAAGUACCGUGAGGGAAAGAUGAAAAGAACUUUGAAAAGAGAGUUAAACAGUACGUGAAAUUGUCAAAAGGGAAGCGUUUGACUACCAGUGUUGUUUUUCUGAAAAUCAAUUAAAGAACUGUUUAUGCUAAGCUGUUUAGACUUUAUCAGCUAUCUGUUUAGUUUUGAGCUUUUCUUUAAUGCACUUUUCAGUUAACAAGUCAACAUCAAUUUCUUUUGCUGUAAAAAAGCUUGAGGUAAGGUGGCUUGAGAUUCGUCUUAAGUGUUUAUAGCCUCUUGCCUAUGCAGUCGGAGAGAUUGAGGUCUGCAGCGUAGAUCCUUCGGGGCUAAAUGCAUUUGUGCUAAGUUAUAGCAUUUUAUAGACAACUUGUUGACUAUGAUUUGUCUUGUAGCUUACUCGCUUAUGUUAUUUUACCUACGCUUAGGAUGUUGAGUCGUAGAGCACGCAG
RNAcentral lists this ribosomal RNA (776 nucleotides) under uncultured Neocallimastigales. RNAcentral describes it as "partial large subunit ribosomal RNA". It matches the Rfam family "Eukaryotic large subunit ribosomal RNA", at positions 26 to 640 of the family's 3401-position model. Lineage: Eukaryota; Fungi; Neocallimastigomycota; Neocallimastigomycetes; Neocallimastigales. The record is from RNAcentral.